CAGUGUCGGGUUGCUCUAUGAUAUCAGACAAGAGCUUAUCUGCCCUUGUGAAAAUGGGUAGGACUCUCCUAGGACUGAAUCUCCAGCACUGCAAUACUAUCAGCACCAGCACUGUUGACCUGCUUUUGGAACGGUUGUGGAGAUGUGAUAUCCUUUCCUAGGAAUGGAAGGAUGCUGAGAGAAUCCCAUUCCAGAAUUAGGAUGGCAAACGUAAUGCAUUGGGUUCAAAGUACAUAGCUUCAGAUUCUAGUCAGCUUUGUGAGUAGCAGCAGCUUGUUUAGUUUUUGGGUCCAUCAGCCAUGGGUGUUUUCUUUUUCCAGUACACGGUUCCUUUUUCCUGGGAGUUUGGCCGUUGAUUCUCUUUUUUUUU
This 370-nucleotide unclassified non-coding RNA is filed under the name Hevea brasiliensis (rubber tree). Lineage: Eukaryota; Viridiplantae; Streptophyta; Magnoliopsida; Malpighiales; Euphorbiaceae. The record is from RNAcentral.